UUUUUUUUUUAAAACGGUUUUUAUCUUAAAAAUGGACCACUUUUCAGAAUAUUAAUUGCUUUAUAAUAUUAACUAAAGGAAAUAAAAUAAAUGGGAAAGAUAUAAUAUUAAGAAUAUAAUAUUAAAAAUGUAACCUCUCUUCUGUAUAAGGCUAACAUUAAAGUGCAGUAUAUACUAGGAAGUGACUUCUAGAUCAUCUUUAAAGGACCAAUUGUUGGUUCAGACAAUAAGUUAAACACAUAAGGGGGUGAUCUGGACAAUUUACGAAUUGUAAUUAACAACUAAAACACUAAUUAAAACAUUAAUUAAAGAUAGGUUGGUCAUUAGCUCAAUUACAAUACUUCCAAUCCUUGAUUAGCAAUAAAUUAAAUGCUUCUCUCACCCUAUUCCAACACCAAUCAACCAACUAAGCGAAGAUUAAUUGGGUUUUCCUAAAAACUAUUAAGCACACGAAUUGCACACAUUCAAUCAAUUGUGCACCAUACAUAUUAAUGACUAAGUGAACAUUAAACCCCAAUUAGACCACUAAGUGUGUCCUUAUUGCGCACAAACAAAUUGGAUAUGAGCAAGGUUAGAACAGCAGAUUCACAAUAACAGUUUGAAAACCUCAUGGAAACAUUGCAACCUCACUAAUCACCAACCCAAACAAAUUUAGGCCAUCACCAAAAUGAAAUUAAAACACCAAAAUGAAAUUGAAUUCAUUAUUAAGCAAUGCGAACAAAACUGGAAAACCAAAUGAAUCUACAAAAAACGAAACUCACUACAAAAAAACGAAAUUCAAAACUGCAAGACGAACUCAAAACAGAAAACAUAAUUGCUUAUAGAAACGAAAUGGGGAAAACUAAAUGGGGGAAAAUAUAAUGGCAGCACCACAAAGACAAACACAAUCCAGUAAAAUGAAAUUCCAUUAAUCUAAAAACAAGUUCACAAAUAAGAUGAAAAUGAGAAAAAGAAAGAAAAUGAAAACCUAAAUGGAGAGCUUCCUAUGUUCACGUCCAAACCUCUAAAAAUGUAAAAUGAAGAAUGAGAAUGUGUCCAAUGGUGGCUGCUGCAUGGGCACACUAAACUAGGCCAGCCCCUAAAAUGGGUUUCUACCUAAAAUGGCCAAAAAUGGGCCAAUAGCUAAAUCUGGUCCAAAAAUACACUAAAAACGAGAUUACAAUUUAAUAUAAACUAAAAUGAUUAUGUGGAGGAUGUAGAAUGACGUGGCAACUCUUAAUGUCUCAAAAUAUGACUCCAAAGUUUGCCCUGAAAAUGAUAAUGAAAAUAAAUAAGCUCAAAUAAUUCAAAUUAAAUAAAAUAUGAAUUACUUGUCAAAUUAAGGCCAAAUAUCAAAAUUGAGGAAAUAUUUGUCAAAUUAAGCAUAAUUCCUUAAUUAAAUCUAGUACGAGAAGCUAAGUGAAUAAUAGAAAAUAUUGAUUCAUCACUAAUACUCUCAAGAAACCGAUUAGUUAAAAGACAAUUGUUAUUCUUCUUAUCCUUUUUAUUAACAUUUUUAAUUUAGAAAUAUCCUUGUCUGGUAGGCACUUUCUACUCAAUGCAACUCCUGUGAGUUGUAAAUCGACCAUUGAGCCAUGCUCUAACAGUAACUCGUGCAAUGUUCUUCUUGGCUACACCCUUUACACUAAGCUCAAGGUCUCUAAGGUUGCUUCUCUCUUCCAAAUAGACCCUAUUUGUCUUCUCACUACCAAUGUCUUUAGCAUAUCCUACUCUGAUGUAGAGCAUCACAUUCUCUCUUGCAAUUUCGUUUUCCUUUCCAAUUCCAUUUUGUUGAUUUCUUUUUUGCUACACUUGUCUCAAUUUUCGUUUUCUCUUCUUGCUAUUAGUUUCAUUUUCGUUUAGGGUUUCCCUUGUAUUUUCAUUUUCACAUUGUAAUUUUGAAUUACUUUUGUUGUUCAAAUGCCAAUUUCGUUUUCAAAGGUUCGUUUUAGUGGCUAGGGUUGUCGUUUGUGCAUAGGGGUUUUCGUUUACUGUUUGUUUUCUGUUAUGUGCAUUCCAAUUGUUGCACGAUGUUUAGAAUAGGUUUUGUUGUGUUGAAAUUGGUUGAAAUGGAAGCUUAAUUCUGUUGGGUUGGGACACUGGGAAAUUGCAUUGUUUCAUGAGAUUAUUGUGCUCAAUUGCUAUGUUGUUCUUACGUGCCCUGCAUCAUAAUUAAAUCUGUUUUGGCCAUUCUAAUUAGGAUAUGCUUGGUGGACUAAUUGGGUUAAUUAUCACUUAGUUAGUUAAACUGCAUGGUUCAUAAUUGAUUAAAUAAUGAUGCAUUAUGUUUGCUUAAUUCACAUUUUAUGAAAAUGGGAUUAGUCUUCGCUUAGUUGAUUAAUUUUAUUAGAUUAAGGGUGAGAGGAACAGUCAAUUCUUGUUAAUCUAGGAUUGAAACAAAUGCAAUUGAACUAGUGGCCAACCUGUUUUGCAUUAUUGUUUGAAUUCGUGCUUUAAUUUGGUAGCUUUAGAUCACAAAAUUGUCCAUAAACCAUCCCUACCACGUGUUUGAUCUAAUUUCUGAAUCACAAUUGGUCCUUGAGAGACGACCUAGGGGUCAUUCUCUUAGCUUAUACUGCAUUUAAUUGCUCAUUAAAUUUGAUUUGGGUACGACCUCGAUCAAUCAUAAAACUGUUCAUAAACCAACCUCACCACGUGUUUGAUCAAUUCCUAAACCACAAUUGGUCCUUGAGAGACGACCUAGGGGUUAUUCUCCUAGCUUAUACUACAUUUAAUUGCUCAUUAAAUUUGAUUCGGGUACGACCUCGAUCAAUACGGUAAUGCUCAUGGUGUUGUUCAUGAUUGGGAUUAUCAUGAUUGUGGUGUAUCUAUGGUGAUAAUGAUCAUGGUAUUUGAGAUGCUUCAAGUGAUGAUAUGUUGGUAGCAGUGUUACUAUAAUGGUUAUAAUAAGUAGUUAGCUUAGGUGCUAAUGAGUAGAUAGACCAAGGGUGUAUGUAUGAGAUGUUAGUAAUGACAUCAAGGGUUAAAGACAAGGGUCGAGGAUCAAGGGUCGAGGAUGAAUAAUCGAGGCUCGGGGACUGAGUAAUUGGAUAUGAUUGAUUUGUUAUAUUUAGAGGUUUAGGAAUCUUGUUGUUAUUACUUCUAUGUAUGGGGUGUUUGAUUAUUAUUGAUAUAAUCAGUAUGUGUUUGUUUUUAUGAUUGUUUUAUCGAUAGCUUACCCUAUACAUGUGUGUUUUGUGUGUUUGUGAAAAGGAUAUUAUCAACGAUGAUCAUAUAAUGUAUUAUACAUGAGCAGAUGAUAUUGCAGGUGUUCUAGAAGCAUGAUAGAUGUGAGGGAUGAUGGGGGAAGGAUUUGGGUUUCUUUAAAAAGUUCUUUUGGUAUAAACUUUUGAAACAAUAUAAUUGUAGUUGUUUUAUUUCCUUAAUCAUUUUAAUUACUUUUGGAAUAAUGUAAUUGGACAAGACUUUUAGAACUAAUAUGUUUUGAAUAAAUUAUGCAUGUUAAAUGUUAAGGAUUUUGAAAAAUGCGCUUCCACGCUAUAAUGAAGUUUAUAAAUAUUCGGUUUUUGUAAUCCUCUAGCAUCCCAGAAUUUGGGGUGUUACACUUUGCUUAGCUCAUUAUUUCCUUUCAAAAAAAAUUCUUGUAUUUUCAAAUUGAAACAUAUUUUAGCUAAUGUUGCACACUCGGGUAGAACUUUGUCGUAGGCGUCAGUAAGAAACUCGAACUCAAAAAAGUUUAUUUCGCAUUUGUUGUCGUCUGAGAAAUAUAUGAGAUCUUCUGCUUCAAUUUCUAAGAUGUAGUUUGUACUUGCGUUUAUUCUUGAGUGUGUACUGUUGUAAACGUGAUGAGCUUCAUCAUUGUUGCACUUGAAGUUUUCCAUUCUUCAGGAUAAUUUCUUCAAGUCCUGCUAAGAACUACCCCGUGAGGUUAGCUCUGAUACCAACUGAAGUACUUGAAAAACACUACAGGAGGGGAGUGAAUAAUGUUAAGGGAAAACAUUUUGCAGCCCUUCUGAUAUAGCACGUUAUCUAGCUCUUGAAGUUUUCCUUUAAAAUAUUGGAGGCUCGACUUAAUAGAUUUGUAAAGUAACAAUGUUUAACGUGCUAUUUAGAAUGUGGAUACUACAAUGUUUUGUUAAGAACUUCCUUUAUAGUAAAGAUCAUUUAUCAUGGAAGAUUCUUAUGUUUAGAAAUAAAGCAUGACUGCAGGUUUUCACAAGAGGAUUGUUUAGGUAAGAGAAGAGACAAUUACUCCAUAGAUUUUACAUUGGUUCCCUCCAUCCGAGCUACGCCCAGUAUCCUCCGAAGACGGUUCCACUAUAAUCUUCACACAAUUACAAAUGAGUAUUAGCAUUACUCCGGGUACUCAGCAACCCCACAGAGAUUUCCUUUGAGUAUUAGAACCAUUCCCAGUACUCAGUAACCUGCCGACAUUUCCUUUGAAUAUUCGCACUACUUCUGGUACUUAGCAACCUUGUCAAGAUUCCUCAACUCAAAAAGUCAGUUGUAAUUAUUUUAAAUCUUCACAUGAUUACAAAUGAGUAUUACCACCACUCUUAGUACUCAACUACCUCGCCUAGAUUUCCUCUGAGUAUUAGCACCACUCUUGGUACUUAGUGUUGAUAGGGGGAGCACUAUGUUAGCUGAACCCAAUCCUAGUAUGUUGUUUUUGAUGAUGACAAAACAUCAAUAGCAACAACACAUGAAUAUUGUUAUGGUCACAUUUGUUGGACAUAUUGUGUUGGUGAUGCAUAUUUUUGUGAUUAUGAUGAGAUUAUAUCUGUGCAUGCUCACUAUAUGUUUUAUGGAAAGAAAACCACAUGCACAAAAGCAUAUCUGCAAGACUUAAUCAAUUAUACUGUUGUGAUAAUCAAUUAAGGUCAUCAAACAACUUAGUUUAUGAACUGUGACAAAACAACUAGUUUUGAAUCAAUUACGUUAGUUGUUGAAUCAUUAAAACUCUUGUGUUUGCAUAUAUCUUUUUCAGAUGUGUUGUGAUGAGUUUUUAAGAAGAAAAGUUUUCAAAAUUUGCUUAAGUGAUAAACUUAAUUGAUUACUCUUUUUGUGUAUUCAAUUAAGUCUAUUAUAUUUGAAAACUGAUUGGAUGCUAGUCAUAACUGCUUUAACGGUCAUAUUUUUAAAUGUGUUUGACUAACAUUUAAUGUUAAUCGAUUACGUUAAUUGAUCAUUCAAUUAAUGAGAUGAGUUAGUUGUAAUACUGUUACAACAAUUUUAUGUAACCGAUUACACUACUAACCUAAUAAAUUACUUUGCGUCUAAUAUGACAGUAAUUAUAAAUCGAUGCGCUAUUUGUAUUUUUGUAACUUUUGAUCAAUCUAAAAUUGUCAUAUCUAAUUGUUUUUUAGUUUAGAAACUUUACAAAUUACUCACAAGCUUCAAGAAUCAAAAGCAUGAAGAAUUUGAAGAAUCUUGAGGAAUUCUUGAGAGGCAUUUGCUGGACUACAUUGAUUGAUCUUAUUAGCACGAAUGAAGGUGCAAAUGGUGUGAUCAGAGGAAGAUUUACAAUCUUUAUCUUGUUGUUUCCCUGGACGUGCAGUGUCAGGAAGAAAAGUGGUGUGCUCUUGACUUUGAGAUGGGAUAUCUCAAAGGGUUUUCUACAACAGGGAUGGGAGGUUCUGUGUUCGCAAGUGUUGUUGUUUCUAUAUUUGAUUGAGAGUUUGUCAAGUUUUUACAUUUGAGAGUUUCUCUGUAAAGCCUUGGCUGUAAUACUUUGAUCAUUAUAGUGAAUUACUCUCCAAUCUAAUGUUGAUUGGGAGGGUGACUGGAUAUAGGCAUUGAGACCGAACCAGUAUAAAAAAUGUUUGUUUUUCUUCUCCUUAUCUCUUUACAUUUACAUUUACAUCUACUAUUUCAUUCCACACACAUUUGCUUACUGCACAAGAAAGAUUUCAAGAACAUUAUAUUUUACGAAAAAGAUUUAAAAAGUCCUCCCCCUCCACCCCUCUUGGUUUUGAGAAACAAAAUUCAUCAAUUCUAACACUUAGCACCAUGCCAAUAUUGUCUUUGAGUAUUCUCAUCACUCCUGGUACACAACUCCCCGUCGAGAUUUCCAUUGAGUAUUUGAACCACUCCUGGUACUAGAUUAUCGCGCCUAGAUUGCUCAACUUAAAAGAGUUCAAUUGUAAGUAUUUUAAUUCUCUUCAGAAUUGCAAUCAAUGAUUGCUUACAAGUAGUUUAGACUAAAUCUCUCUACGAGAGGAUUUGAUUACAAUACAAUGCAGUUUAAACACUCGCAGGUGUUUCUAUCUGCUCUUUGACAAUUGUAAGAAAUUUUAUGCUUAAGCUCGAGAGUUUUUCUUUCUCUUCUUCUUUCUUCAGCUUAGAUGUAUUCUUUUCUUGGAGCUCUUUUUUCUCUUCUCUUUAAGAUAGAUAUGUCAUUGUAAGCUUUUCUUUUUGCUCUACGGCUAUCCUGUAUUCUAUCCUCUUGUUUUUCUUCUUGAGAGAUCUUUUAUUUAUAGGCUUCAUGAAUAUUUGUCCAUUAGACUGAGUUUGAAGUUUGUAGCUUUGAUACUUGUGUUUUCUCUUUCUUCUUUUCACAUCAGCCAUUGUGUAAGUCAACUUUGUCAAAGCAUACAUGCUUUUUUAGUCCUUUGCUUGAAGUAGGUUGUAUGAUCUUUUUAGACUUUGCUUCAAGAGAGGAACAUUCUAUGAUUAUCUUCUUUGUCUCUAACAUCCACAUUUUGAUAUUUUGUCUGUAGCACUAUGGAUGCGUGUAGAAUAGCAUAUCUGCAAAAUUAGAGUAAAAUGUGCAUGCAGUAGAUAUGACUUUUAUUAUCACUUUUGUUGUUUUUGAACGCUGAGCAUUUAAAGUCCUUUGAUGCUUGUUCAGAACAACAAAGUGUUUUUUUGUAUUUCCUACUGUUAGGUAGCAUUUUACAAUUAAGUUCUUUUAAUCCAAGAUACCAAGCGUAUAUAAGUACUUCAUCAUAGGAUGAGGUAUGUGCUUAGCUCAUGGUAUCAUCUGGCCAAGUAAAUGCUUAUUUGGCUUUUGUCUCUUUUUAGACAGAUAACGUUUAACUUGUUUAAGUUAUUUUAUGUUUUUGAUAGUUACGUCUCUUAAUGUUUUUGUCAAGGACAUUGUCUCUUAAGGUAUUUUAAGCAUUGAGCGUUUAACUCAAUUCUCUUUUGGACGCUUUUAGGCAAGACAUGGCCUAAACAUGCAUCUGGGUGUUUUAGCCUCUUUUUUUCUAUUUCCUAGGACCUAAGUGUUUUCCUAUGUUUUUCUACGUUAGGCUCUAAGUCUUGUGUUUUUACCCUAGGUGUUUUCUGAUUAUUAACCCGGUUUUAAUGUUAUUUGAUUAAACUUCAAAACAUGAGGUCAUUUAUUCGUUAUAGACGAUUUUGUCUUCAACAUAUUAAACCUAUACGCAUCGAGUCGCGGUUAAAUCGAAGCAUAUAAUGUUUAUAGACUCAGUUCUAGCAGAACCGAAGCAAAAGGAGUUGGCAAAACGCAUUAAAAAGUUUAGUUUCAAAAUUGACAAGGACAUUAUGCCUCGGUUCCCUUACUAUGUGAGGCAGUUUCUCUUACAAACUUGUCAUGUCAGCGAAUUUACAGAGCUAUAGAGGGAUUUUGAUGGGCUUUAUGCCUCAGUUCUCUACUUAAUCGAGGUAGUAUAUGCUUCUGACCUGCCAUGUUAGUGAAUUUGCAAAGCUGCAAAGGGAUUUUGAUGGGCUUUAUGCCUCAGUUCUCUAACUAACCGAGGCAGUAUCUCAUCCUAGAAAAGGUGUCAGGCGGAAAGCCUAUUUUGUAGGGGGAACAGGUGGACUUAAGUAGGGUUUUAUGCUUCGGUUGCUUCAUAACCGAGGUAAUAGACGUGUUUAUGCCUUAGUUGAGUGGGAACUAAUGCCUAUAAGUUCGCUAAAACUACAAAAAUGUCACCGCUUUUUCUUAUGCUUUAGUUUUCUGGAAACCGAAGCGUAUUGUGCGAGUUAAAAACACAUAGUUUCACUUAGCUCCACUUAGGGCUUUAGCCUCUUAAUGUUUAACCACUUCCAACACCUUUGACCAAGGGUGUUUCUACAAAUAAGAGAAAGAAAUAAGGGUAAAAAAGAAAAUAAUGAAAAAGAAAACCUAUCUAAGCAUAAACAUUUUUCCAAAACUAAUUUUUCUCUAAGGAGACUCGCUCAUCCAAGGAAAAAAAUUGCAAAAAAAUCAUUCUAAACAAAGUCCAAGCAACCCUAGGGAGCCUAGUUCUCCUGGUUGAGGAGUUGUACAAAAAGUUCAACGUGGCUCCCCAACCAGGAGAACUAGGCUCCCUAGGUUGCCUGGACUUUGUUUUUGAGUGAUUUUGUCAAUUUGUUUUUUUGCAUGAGUGACUUUCCUCAUCAUUAGUGGUGUUUAGUCUAUAACUUGGUACUAAUGCUUAUGGCUUUGAUCCUUCUUUGUUCAAACCAUCUAUCUAGGCUUUGACCUCCAAUAUUGAAUGAACUAAGGUGUCUUUUAAUGCACUAAACACCACCAAUGAUGAGGAAACACACUCAUCCAAGGAAAAAAAUUGAAAAAAUAACUCAAAAACGAAGUCCAGGCAACCCUAGGAAGCCCAGUUCUCAUGGAUGGGGAGCCACGUUCAACUUUAUGUACAACUCCCCAAGAUGCCUAUGGUAAUCGAUUACAGGGUCUUGGUAAUCGAUUACCAGAGACAUUUUGAGGAGUUGUACAAAAAGUUAAACUAGACUCUCUAGCCAGGAGAAUAUGCUCCCUAAGGUUGUCUGGACUUUGUUUUUGAGUGAUUUUUAAAAUUUUUACUUUGGAUGAGUGAGUUUCCUAAUCAUUAGUAGUGUUUAGUGCAUAACUUGGUCACCAAUGCUCAUGGUUUUGACAAACUUUUGUUCAAACCACCUAUCUGGGUUUUGUUCAAACCACCUUGGAUGAGUGAGUUUCCUCAUCAAGACUUCAAAUCAUAUUAGCAUUAGUAAUCGAUUACAAGAGGCAUUUUGGGGAGUAGUAUAAAAAGUUGAGCAUGACUCCUUAACCAGGAGAACUAGGCUCGCCAAAGUUGCUUGGACUUUGCUUUUGAGUUAUUUUUUCAAUUUUUUUCCUUGGAUGAGUGAGUUUCCUCAUCAAAUCUCACUAACUUUUUACUCAAUAACAAUGCUGAUUGGAAAUAUCUAAAUGUAUAUUAGCAUUGCCAAUAAUUAUUACAAUCAAUUUUCGUUGAGUUAACUUCACAAUGAUCUUUAUUUAGUAUUGUCAACCUCAUUUAAGAAAAACAUUUAAUACGCAUAUUACUAUAUCCAACGUAGGGAGUUCUAAGGGCACAACUCUUGUAACGUACGCGUCAUCCUUCCUUCACGCACUUGUACACAUCCAUUUCCUUAAAUUUUAUAAUUUUCUCUCUGAAACAAAUCCCACCCCUCGAGUCAACCCAUCUAACACAUAACUCAUUCAAGACACUCCUACCAAUCUUAACAUUGUCGUGCAACUCUAAAAACCAAACAAAUGGUGUCUUUUUAAUAAAGAUCCUUUGCUCUAGAUUAUAUCUUCUAUUCAAAGUACCAACUAACUUGAGUUUGAAACAAUGUCGCACACACAACUGCAUAAAAAAUAAACUUAUUACAUCAUAACAAUCCAAGAAAUAAAAAAUGAAAGGGAAAAGAGGAAAUGGAAAAUGAGAAAGGGAAAAGAGGAAACACGAAAGGGGAAAGGGAAUAGCAGAAAUAUUUUACUCCCAUCACUGGUGAACGUUGAAUGAUAAAACAAAUUGUCCCAACGAAGGAGGGCAACGUCUUGGCAUCGAUGAUGUGGAAGAAAUAGAAAAGGAAUCAUUGUUUUGCUGGAGAAGAUGACAAUAAAAGAGAGAGCAUAGAUAUGGAGAAGGAAAAUGUUUCUCAAGAGAUUAAAAUGAAAGGAUAUUUUCAAAAUCCAAAAUCAGAAACCCUAAAUACACAUAAUCUACCUUUCCACGUCACAUUUAACAAAUAAAAUAAUGAUUUCAAACGGGCCAAUAUAUUGUUGACAUGUGGUCGUUAUAAAAAUGUUAUUAACUUUUAAGUUGUUAACAUAUCAUAUCCUUCUUUUUAAAAUAGGUUAUAGAUUGAUCUAAUUUGACUUACGAAAUUGACCCUAUAUUUUCAGGUUAUGAGAAUCGAACUAUUCCAAGUUAGCAUGUUAAAAUCUCUGACCCAACUUCUUUUUUUUUUCGGGGUAGUAAACUAUACCACCAAGCCUAACCCAUUUUAUCAUUCUUAAACAAAAUAAAAAAAAAAUGAUCUUUAUACUUUAAUUUAAAAUAUUAUGAUAUAGAAUGAAACAAAAUGAUGCAUUUAUUUAAAUGGUAGAAUCAUCAAUCAAGAGAAUCUUAAUAAACUUACUGACCCCCUUAAAAAAUAAAAGUAAGAAACGAUAGUUUCACACUUCAUAAUUAUACUUCCUCUUCACAACCCUUUAUAAUAUUAUUUUAUUUAAUAUCCUACUUUAAUAUGUUAUUAUUAUUUAAGUUGGCAUAUUGAAAAGUUUGUGUUGAAUCUAACCACCUAACAAUCUAAAAAAAAUACAAUUAUUAUAGGAAAAAUGACAAAUUAUCAUUACCUGCUCAUCAUAUACCUUCCUCUCAAUCUCAUAUUUCAAAUUAGUGUUCUUGGAGUCCUCAAAGUUAGCAAAUAUCACUAACUAAACAACUCUUAGGUGAUAUAAUGCUAUAUAAUUUAUAAUAUUAUUAUUUUUAAAUUAUAUAAAUCAAUCAAUAAUUUUAUUUUUUUAAAUUAAAUUUCUAGAAUUUAAUUAUAUAAAAUUGUAUAUUAUAGAGUUAUUAAAGUUGUAAAUUAUGUAAUUAAGUUAUAUUUAUAUUAUUUAAAUAGAAAAUAAGUUGUUUAUGGUUUCGAAGAGAAAGCAAAAAAGAGUCUUGAAGUUUUAGACCGAAACCAAACUCACCAUUUGAAACUACCAACUUAUAUUCUUCUAUGUCAUAAACUUAUGUGUAUAUAAUAUAAUGGUUCAUUAGAGCAUUUUAGAAUGGAACGCAUAAAUUAAUUAAUUGAAAUUAAUGAAUGAUUAAUUUUGAAUGGAAAGUGAAAUAAUACAAAAUGGAAAAACUUUGUUGAAUACAAAACUAAUUGUUUUAGUAGAAAAACGAAUCUUAAUUGUCCCUCUUCAAUGCUACCUAAUAAUAAAAACUAUAUAAUUAUUAAUACGAAAUAAGAACUUAAGUUAUUUUAGCGUUAUGGGUGGCCCUUUUCGACCACGAGAGAAUAAAGUAGAAUCAUGGUUGAAACGUACACCAAAGAGUAUUCGUAAGUCUAAUUGAAACUUUGUUCUUAAUUUAAUAAAUUAUUAUAGGUCUUUUUCUAUUUCAAUGCUUAUUGUUAAAACAAUAGAGUUUCUAGAAACAAAAUCCUGCACAAGAAUGCAGGUAUCAAUAGCGUCAGGCAUGACGUUGAUCGAAGUAAGGGGCGGCGAGUAAUAAGGAAACAAAAAAGAGGUUGUUUUGUUACUUAAGAAACAAAUUAAUAGAAUAAUCUAAGGUAUAAUUUGCCCCCAAGAUGUCAUCACCAUAGAGGUAUCAUAUAUGACUGGCAAAGAAUCAGAAUAUAUUAUGUACUUAUUGCAUGAUCAAAUUUGAAAAUGUUAACUUGAAUGGAUCUAGAAGAUAGUGAUUGAGAGGAUUUGAAGAUAAAUUUUUUUUUGUUGUUUAUUUAAAUAGAUUUGAAAAUAAGUGAGAAUAAAUUUGAAAGUAAAUUUUCUAAUCUGUCACAUAAAUUAAAUUCUACAGUAAUUCUCAUAAACUUUAUUUUUAAAUUCAUUCUCGUUUAUCUUCAAAUUUAUUCAAAUAAACAAAAAAAAUUAUCUUCAAAUCUUCUCAAAUUCAAUCUAUUACUCUCCUUCAAAUCCACUCAAGUUAACACAUCUAAAAAAAUUUAAUAUAUAUAUAUAUAUAUAUAUAUAUAUAUAUAUGGAAACAAUUGAAUCGAAGGAAGUGACACAUGUAUUGAGUAUUGAAACAGAAUCAAAAGAAGGUAGAGAAAGAGUUUUAUAUAGCAGCAGAAGGAGUGAAACUGAGAAUGGAAGAAUGAAUAACUCACUAUUAUUAUAACAGUGUUGCACGGUUUAUAUACAUGCAGAAAUGCAGUAACAGAAGUAACGGAAAGUGCUUUACAAGUAAAACAGGACUUGAAUUAUGCAGACAUUUUGACAACCAAAGAGGUGGAAAAUGAGACUUAUCAGGUAAACAGGAUGGAAAAGACAAGUCGAGUAGAGAGAACUUGGUUUGAAACAACUAAAGAAGCUUAAUCGAGACACAAAAUAUAAAAGUAGUUGGACCAAAGUAAAAAAACAAUUAAGAGAAAGAGGAUUGAAAUUAAGAGUAAAGCUAAUUCGAAAAGAAGGAUAAAAGUAAUAACUCCAGUAGAAAGUGGAAGCAAGAAAGAAAUGUGACAUGAUGGGGAUUAGUUUUAAGAUAGUUAUUUCUAUGUAUUUCUUUUUUUAUUUGUCAAAAUAGGAAAAAUUAUAAAUAACUAGAUCAAAUGUAAAAAAUGAAUGGCAAUUGUGGAUACAAAUUCAAACAUGCUGAAAACACCACGAACAGGAAAAAAAUGUCAAAAUUAAUGUUGAUUAUAAUAAUCUGUGUUAAUAUUAUAGUUGAUUUCCUUUAUUAGUUUUUAUUCUAUUAUUCGUAAUUGACUUUUCUACCAACCUUCGUUACCACCCUUUUCUUUAUCUACCAUCCUCCAUUUUACUUUUAUUUCACUAAAAAAACGAACAAAUAACGUUUUUUCUUAAUAAUAGAUAGCGUUUUUUAAACACUAUCUAUUAAUAUAUAACGUUUCUAAAAAAGCAUUAUUUAUUAGAUAACAUUUAUUUAAAUAAAUAUUAUUUAUUGUCAGAUAUCAAUGGAUAACACUCUUUUAAAUAAGCAUUAUCUAUUUAUGGUUUAAAAUUGUCUAUUGUUAAACAUCAACAAAUAAUGCUUAUUUAAAAAAGCGCUAUCUAUUGGUCUAAAUUUAAAAAAAAAAUCAAUAAAAUAUUUAAGAAAAUAUAAAAUAUUUUCAAAAGAAAUUAUAAAAUAUUGAUUCUAUUAUGUACAAACCUAUACUAUCUAUUGGUUCUAUUAUAAAGAGAAAAAUAUAUAAUACUAAGAAAAAUAUGACAAAGACAAAGGUCUCAAAAAGAAUGUAUAUUAUUUUAGUGUAUGAAUAAAAACUAUUGGUACAACCAUAUUUCAAAAUAUAAUCGUUGAGUCAUUCAAUUUGUAUCGUGACAUGACAAUGCUUUAUAAGACAAUAUAUAAAGCAAACCAGAACUCCAGUAAACUCCAAACAAUUUUAAAUAAUUCAUGUUUCAUUUUAGAAUCUUAUGUUUCAGAUUAAAUAAUUUUAAAUAAUUCAUGUUCCAUAAUUCAUGUACACCGAGAGGUAUGGCACAUUCAAAUUAAGAUAAUUAGAAUCUUAUGUUUGAGAUUAAACAAUCAUGUCCAAGUCAAGAAAAUCAAAAUUCCCGUGUAACACUAAAAGAAAAGCAACGUGCAAUUAUAACAUAACAGAAAUUAUUUACCAGCACCUUAAUAUCAACCACAUGUACUUCUAAUACCAUUUUAGCUUCUAAAAUACAUUUCCAAAGAAACUUCAAUCACAUAACAACAACCUUAUCAUGUCCCCCUUCAUUUCUAGUCACAGUCCUUAGAGGGUGAGCUUCUGUGUUGAAUACCCAUUCAUCUAAUAGGAUGAUUGAAGAAGGCGAGAAGAGAAGAUAAAAAUACUUCAAGGUCUUUACAAGAAAGAAGCUUAACAUCAUGUUGUCUUUCACCCCACUAUUAACCUGAGAAAUUUGAACAAGUUAUGCCAAAUGAGUAAGCAAAAUAGUUGUCAGGAAUAUCAAAUGGUAUCAAGCAUUAGACAAACAUCAAAGGAAGCAAGAAAGAAAAUGGGCAGAAAUCAAUAGAGUAUAUUUCUAUACUAUAAAAUACAACCAACCUUAAUUUAUCUACAGUUAAACCAUAAUAAUAUAAAUAUAAUAAGGGGAAACAACAUAUAUUCAACUAGUGCCAAAACUAAAAUCAUUGUCUUUAUAGUUCAACUUACCUUACUAUGUUGUGGCCUUGUAACAUAUCAGCUUGCAGAAUACCACUUUGGUCACUGCUUGCAUGUUGACAUGGCUGCAUAAUGGAAUAACAAGGUAAGAUAUAUUUUAUGUAACACUUUUUAGGAAAAGUGGAUGUCUUGACCAAAAUUUAUCUUCGCAAAAACAUUCUUAAGUUGUGAUGUCCAAUCACCCUAUGUUCUAUUGUGAAAGCUUAUAGUCAUCUCCUGGGGCUGAUGUAAUAGACAAAGGAUGCCUAUAGAACAACAUUUUCAACUUUGUCAACACCAAUUUUUGAUAGUAUUGUGUAACAAAUCAAUAGUAACAAAAUAGGAAUGCUCAUUAUACCAUUGAAAUGGAGAAACAUCUGAGCAGUUAACGAAAAUAUAUUAUCCACUAGAGUAUUUGAUAAUAAGUUAGAUUAACAUACAACUUAAACUAUGGCAUAAUGAUAUCAUCAUCUCAAGGUCUAAUCCAAUAAAAGCUAGAAUAAGUGUGAGGCGUAAUAUAAUAGGUAAUUUAUAGGCUUAAGACUAGGAGGGAACGUGCAUAGAGACGACCACCCUGUUGCUAGAAUUAGGAGUGGUUUUUUUUCUGGAAGUUCAUAACUGAGGUAGAGAAAAUGUAGAAUAGAAGGGAAAACAUUAUCACUCGCAUUUACUCUUUCAAGUGGAUCUUCUCAAAAAUUGGUAUAGCCUUUACGGCAAUGCAUGUUGCCAUACUAGGAGUCAUUCUAUUCAUAACAAAAACGUUAAUGGACAAGUAUAGGAAGCUUUUUAAGUAAAAUGGCCAAUUAAGAGAGAAUCUGAAUCUUAUGAUUGGCUAAGAGAAUUCCAUGCAUCUCAAAGACUGGGCCAAGCAUGUCCUUGACCGGAAAUAUAUUGUUUUACUCUAGACAACAAAGAGCAAACCAAUAUAUGCUGAUAUAGGAAACUACAAAAUAUAUCUUACCAAAAUGUAAAAAUCUCCUUGCCAACCCUUAUAAUGAACCCAAGGAAUUCCAUAUCAGCCAUUCAAAGUACUUUCCAAUUUAAAAAAUAUAAAAGUGAGAACUAUAUAAGUAUCAUUAGAUCAAUUGAAGGUAAAAGUAUAUUUUCUUAAUAAUCGUGUUCAAAUACGAAAGGAAGAUUACUCACCUGUAAACUUACCACUCAUAAGGAAGCCCUUAUUUGCAACCCUUACUAUACUUAUGUGCUCAAACUUAAGUGCAACAUGUAAAAAAGGUUAAAAUAAGAGAAAAAGCAAUGUAUCUUUCAGCAUAGGCUCACUAAUACUUCAUUAUCCUUAAAGAGAUCGAAAUCCCGUGUAAUACAUCAACCACAUUAGGACCUGUUCGACUAGAGCCACCAGUUAUACCCUACUACCAAUAUAAACUUGACAGAAAAAGCCCUUACCCAAUUUUCUUUCUAUCUUAAAUAUAGGAUAAUUACCAACUUGUACCUACAAUUAAUGGAGGUGAAGUAGAAUAGGAAAUUGAACUUAAAUGCACAUGUUUUCAAAAUAAUCUCCUCGGAACAAUACUUUUAAUUGCACAAAGUAUCACAUAUUGUUAGGAAAAGGCUUCAAGAUGUUGAUAGGGGAAGCGAUAUGAGUGUUGAACCAAAUCCCUAAUGUGUUUGAUUUUUUAUGAUGACAACACAUUGACUGUAACAACACAUAGAUGUUGUCAUGACACAACAAAAAUAUGCAUUUAUGAUUGAUAAAUAUGUGGCUAUGAAAAAUGCUUAUUGUUGAUUAAUACAUAUGUUGACAUACUAUUGAUUUUGCAUACUACUAUGAUUAUGAUGUGUUUAUAUCUUUGUAUGCAUAUUGUAUGUUUAUGUGUGAUGAAAACCACAAGCACAAACGCAACUCCGCAUGACAUGUAGGUGUGGUUCUUGGGGUGUGUUGCUUUGAUUAUACCCAUGGGUGGUUUGGGCAGUAACGAUUUAGAACUACAACUAGGGUUGCAUAAGGAGAAAGCCUAUGAAUAAAGGGUUUGCAAAGGGUGUUUUUCUUUCGGGUUCAUUUCUCUUGUAGAGAAAUUUCAUUCAGUUCAGAUGGGUAGGCACUAGAGUGGCAUUCAAGUGAAGCUAGUACUAUUGGAUGUGUGGUUUUGAUCAUUAACGUGCAUGGGUGCUUUAGUUGGGGAACUAGUCUGGAGCUAUCAUAUUAUAAAUUGUGUUUGGGGUGAUGUGAGGAAAAUACUUGUUCUUUUACAAAAUGCUAGGAUUUAUGUUUGGUUGUUAUGUUAUUUUACAAAAGGUACAUAUGAAUAUGCAUCAUCUUUGGUGUGUUGCAAGAUUUUGGGUUAUUGUAUGGUAUUUUGUGAUGUUCCUAGGUAGUGAAAAAAAGGCUUUAACCAAAUGAUGUGAUGGUAAUGGUAUAUUGUUUUCUUUUAUGCACUUUAUGUCGUUAAUAAUUGUAAUUGAAUUAAUUUUUGUGUUGCAUAUUAUUAAAUGAUUAUGAAGUAUUUGAAUAAUGUGCUCUCUGUGAAAUUAGAAUACUUUGGAUGAAGGAUUGUGUUAGUGUGUUUGAUUAUGAUUAGUUGAUAUUGAUUGUUGUACUAGAUUCAUUAAGCAUUAUAGGUGAUUCAUGCUAGUAUAAGUUAUCACAGUUGAGAAUGAUAUAUUUUUCCUGUUAAAUAUGAUUGCAAUAGAUUCAAGUGUAUGAGUGUAGGCUUUAAUUGCACAAUGUUUACGUGAAAGAUUGUUUUAAUAAAAUUGAAGCAUGAUAGUGUGACUUGGGUUACAGAUGGUUGUUUGAAACAUUGUUUUGAUGAAUAAUGUAAGCAUGAUCAAUUUGUAAUUAGGUGUUAAAACUUGUACAUGAUGCCAUGCCGAUGAAUCUUUUUAUGAAUUAUAGGUGGUUUUUAAGCAGGCAUAUUUAUGGUUUGGGGAUCUAUAUGUAAAUUGUUCUAUAAUUGAUUUAGUUUUAUGUUGAAUCUCUGUAGCUUAUUGUUUGCAUGAUCAGAAUAUAUGUACAAUUUUCUUGCUAUUUAUAGUUGUGCAUAAAUUAUGGUUUUUUUUUAUGAUGUACAAUACAUUAAGCAGUUUGUUGUGAUCUUCUUUUAAUUUGUUUAGGAAUUAUUUUUGUUAUUGUAUUAUGAAAAUUAUGUGCUUAAAAGUUUAUGUAAUUUUGGAGGAGUUUAUGAAGUUUAGCAUUAUCUAUGUUUUCAGGUGAUUGUAAUUUUUGGGGACAAAACUUCUUUCAAGGAGGGGCGAAUGCAUGAUCCGAGAAAAUAUGAGUUUUAAAAAUAAAGUAAUUUUGAGACUUUGGGUUUUUCUUUGGAAAUUAGUGUUCUUGAGUGUAUAUUUUGGUUAGAACAUAAUUAUUAUGUUAUUUCUUUAUUUUAUAUUUUUGUCUAGGGGCAAAAGGGUAUUUUACCUUUAUUUAACCUUUAUUUAAUUGGUGUAGAAAUUAAUUAAGGGGUGGUUUUGUGUUUAAAAACCCUAGAAACACUGAAUCAAAGAGAUAAAAUAAAGGAAGAAAGUAGAUUGGCGUUCUGGGAGAAGAAGAAAGAGAGUGAGGGGAAACUCUUAAUGAAAGGAAGAUUGGUGAUGUUUUAGGGUUGUAGAUAAAAGCCUUAUGAUUGUCCAAGGUAUAGGGAAGCAUACCUUUGUUUAGGAGAAAAAGUUUCGCAUCAACAGCUUUGUUUUUGGAGAAUUUUAUAAAAUCUACAUUGGUGUUUCUAUCGUUGUGAAGUCAUUCACAGUUAGAUCGGGCUGAUUUUUUGUCAGUGGGUUCCAGACGUAUGGUUCUUCGUUCUGACCAUUUGGAUCGUCAAUCGGAGGUCUAGUUUGGGAGAAAACAGCUAGCAUUAGCAACUCUGUUGUGGAGAAUUUUCAUCUUCUUAGUUCCUAUAUGGUGUUUUUAUCGGAGACUUUUUUGCAUCCUAUUAUUGGGGGUAUGAUUGAAUCUGACUGAUUCAUGUGAUGUAUUAUAUGUUUAAGUAUGUUUACAUGGAUAUCUGAUUCUUGAAUGCAUGUAUGAUGUGUUAACUAUGUUUCCACGUGAUAUAAGGUUGAUUCAUGUAUUUUUGUUUUAUUCGGAACAAAUUGAUUAUCGUUAGUUAUAUUCGAUUAUCUACACGUUGGUUUUGAGUAUGGUUUCGAAAAUAAACGAUUAUCUAGGAUGAUAAUUGAUUAUUCCUUCCUGUGUGAUUGUUUGGGUAAAUUUCACUGAGAUAAUCGAUUAUAUUAAGUGAUAAUCAAUUGUCAAAGUGUAUUUUGGUGAAAAAUGAUGAAUGGACAUGAAUCAAGCCUAAGGAGAUGUGGAACAUGAUGAUAAUCACACAUUGCUGUUAGUAGUUAUGUUUAGGGUCAGUUUGACUUGUAGUUGAAAAUGAAGCAUGAGUGAGUUUUAAGAUAUACCUAAGUAUGUGAUUGAUGAGCAUGAGAGUGAAGGACAAGUCUGCUUGUUGUACCUUCUACAUGUGGAUAGGUAUUUCAUUUUGCCUUGUGUGCAUUAGAAGGAGAUUAUCUGGAGGGGAGGUUACAACAUAGUCAAAGAAGGUAGAAAAGUGAGAUGGACUCUUUCUGUUAUGAUAUUAUGGUUAGUAAUAAUCAUAAUGUAUUUUGUUAUGUGGUUAAUUAUGGUUAGUAUAAUAACAAAAUACGUACUUUAUUAUGACUCCAAAUAAAAUGAAAAAUAAUUUUAGAAUUCAUUUAAAACUAUUUUAUUUUACAAAUUAAUAAAAUAUAAAUAAAAUAUUUAUUUCAUUAUUUUAUUUCUUGAAACAUGUAAUUUUAUAAAAAAAAUUAAAUACAAAAGUAAAUUUAGAAUUUUACCAAUUUUUAUUACCCACUCAGAAAUCAAAGUGUUUCAAUAUAUAUAAUUUACAUUUCAAAAUUACUACAAUAUUUUAUAUUUUAAAAUAUAUUUUAAAAUUAAAGUUAAAAAUAUAUCUUUCUUUAUUUAGAAAUAAACUCCACGAAUAUAAUUUAAAUAAUAAAAAAAAACUCUUUGAAUAUUUCUUUUUUAAUAGUUUUAUAAAAAAUUUAAAAAAAAACAAGGGAAAAAGGAAAUUAGUACAUUAGUUUAAUUCAUUAAAUAAAUCAUUGAUAAAGUUCUCAAAGUAAAGAAUAUUUAAAAAAAUAUAUGAUCUUGAAAAAGUUUAAGAAAGCAAAAUUUUGAAAAAUAAAAUGUAUAAAUUUUAAAAAAAAUCAGGUUACAGGGAAUAAAAGAAAUUUCUAAAAGUACUCCCAACUUCAUAAAUUAAAAUAAAAAAUAAAAAAAAUACAAAAUUUUAAAAUUAUAUUACGGAUUUCGAACUUUUUUAAAAUCAGAAUUAAUUAGUAAAAAAACACUUAUAAGCGAUAUUUUCAACUCACAUCAUUUACUAAACAAAUUUUAUCAACGUAAAAGACAGUUUUUUUUACAUGUAUACCGAGAUGUAUAAAUAAAUCUAUAGGUGCAAUUUUUCUAAAUGAAAGCUUCCAGUUUUCAAUGGUCAUCUUUAAUUAUGAUUCCCAUGUCUAAAACAUAUCAAUAAAAAUUUUCUUCAAACACGAAUGAAUCGGAAAUUUAAUUAUUAUGAUGAUUAAACAAAACUUAAACAUGUAUUCCGAUAGCUCGAAAAUUUCAAGCUUUAUCAGAUCUCCAGGACAAGAGAAGAAAUACAAACAAUAUAAAAACUUAGGAAAAAUAUGGAGAGAGAUUUAGAGAAAAGUUAAAUUAUCAUAAUCGAUUAUUGUUAUUAAAUCACUUUAAAUUACAGUAGAUUUAUACUUUGUGCAGAACCUAGAAAAAUGAAGUAAAGGAAAAUUCCACCUUUUCUUUCUUUCAAUUUUCACAUUACAGAUAAAUGAGAGCCUGCAGAGGAUAGAAGACUAAAAUACACAACAGAGUAUAUAACCCUUGAAACAAUAACUUAUCUAUGAAGCAUAAAACUUCAAUCUAAAACAAGGCUUAUAAAUUACAUUGGUAUGUUUUGUAUUCAGAAUAACGAACUACCCUUGAACGUCUCAUUAUAUUAAACAAAACUCAAAUAAAAAAAAUGACAUAAACCAUACUCAACCUGCAAAACUAAAUGUAAGUUUCAUUUGAAAAGCAACAUUGUAGACAAACGAUCAGAGAAAUAACACGGCAAACAAGCAUGUGAUACAUAAUAGAUAACAGUCUAUCAAAAUGUGAUCAACAAAAAAUUUAGCUGCUUCACUAAUAUCCCAAAGUAUCAGAGGGAACAGAUCCAGGGAUCAACAUAUAGAAAAGCAACACAAUAUAUUUAGCUUCAAGGGAACGAGUCAUGUGGGAACAGAACAAAUCCACACAGACCAGAUAGAGAAGCAUUCCUUAUGUUAAUUAAAGACUUGUAUCGCAUUGUCAAAGAUAUAAAAAAGCAUUCAAAUGACAAUAAAAAAUACACUUUAUAAAUAUCUGCAUAAUGUUUGAAAGUAAGAGCCUCAGAGAUCUUGGUGGAUAAGAAUCAUCAAAUGGGUAAUUCCCAUCAAGAGUAGCAAAUAUUUUCUAACAUCACGGGCUAUCAUAAAAUAAAAAGUAAAAUACAUUAUAAAAUAUAUCUAUGAAUCUAAAAAUAUAACAAUCCAUGUGUAUAACCAAUUUAUAGCAGAAACUCAAUCAAAUAAAAAUAGAAAGCAAUGUGUUUGAACACAAUGUUGUCAGUAGUAGCUGGUUGUAAAAUCAUAUACAAAAUCAGUGGGAAUCCGUCUGAUUUUAUCAUCAUUCAACAUCGCAUGUUCAAAACCUCUAAAAAUUCAAUUAUAAUUUAAAAAUAAAUCAAAAUAAUAAAGAAUCAUCCAAAUCCUCAAAAGAUAUUUAUCUAUCUUGUCACCAAGAAAUCCUAUCAAGAAAUAAGGAUACUCGGAGCUAAAGAUAGACAACACGUAUACUAAACAUAUACAUGCUAAUUAAAAUAAUUUUAAUAUAGCCUAACGAUAGAUUCAUUGACAUACCAGAUCGACGUACAAAGAAUUGCAAUAUUAGGCAAAAUUUCCAAUUGAAUAGAAUUGAAAUUAAAGAAAUAAUUGAAAUAUUGAAAUAGUAAAAGAACAUAUCAACCCUAAUAUUGUUGGACUCAGAGAGUUGCUUUCUGUGCUCAAAGAUGAAACCUUUAACAAAGAUCCAUCUCAUACAAGAGGUGUCAGAAUAAUCAAGCACUCUUCAUCUUUGCCCGAAACACAACAUAUCAAAUUUAGGGAAGAGCUGCAGAAGGAGGUGAAGGUAUUACAAACUAGGGUGUUUGGGAGAAGAGGUUUCAGUUUUGGAUCUUGGGAUUACACAAGGGAUUGUCUUAUUUAUAGGCCAAUUGUUAGGGUUUCAGUUUGUUUUCUUAAUAUGUUAACAUAUGGGCUUUUACGGGCCGGGCCCAUCACUCCUUUGACCCUUUUCUUAGGUUUCAUGUCCG
This 21317-nucleotide long non-coding RNA is filed under the name Vigna radiata. Its description in RNAcentral is "long non-coding RNA (VRAD_LNC002938)". The record is from RNAcentral. Lineage: Eukaryota; Viridiplantae; Streptophyta; Magnoliopsida; Fabales; Fabaceae.